RNAcentral lists this unclassified non-coding RNA (194 nucleotides) under plant metagenome. Its description in RNAcentral is "partial contains small subunit ribosomal RNA, internal transcribed spacer 1, and 5.8S ribosomal RNA". The record is from RNAcentral.
UCUCCGUUGGUGAACCAGCGGAGGGAUCAUUACCGAGUUUACAACUCCCAAACCCCUGUGAACAUACCAUUUGUUGCCUCGGCGGUGCCUGCUUCGGCAGCCCGCCAGAGGACCCAAACCCUUGAUUUUAUACAGUAUCUUCUGAGUAAAUGAUUAAAUAAAUCAAACUUUCAACAACGGAUCUCUUGGUUCUG